This 439-nucleotide ribosomal RNA is filed under the name Atrax robustus. RNAcentral describes it as "partial 16S ribosomal RNA". It matches the Rfam family "Bacterial large subunit ribosomal RNA", at positions 1830 to 2600 of the family's 2925-position model. Lineage: Eukaryota; Metazoa; Arthropoda; Arachnida; Araneae; Hexathelidae. The record is from RNAcentral.
CUCUAAUAGAAAUAAUUAUUAGUAACCCCUGCUCAAUGAUCAUUUAAAUAGCCGCGAUUACACGUGCUAAGGUAGCAUAAUAAUUUGCCUACUAAUUAUAGGCUUGUAUGAAAGGGCCAACACGAAAAAUUCUUUAUUACCACAACAAAUCAAAAUUCAUCUAUGAGUAAAAAAGCCCAUAUUUAUCAGAAAGACGACAAGACCCUGUCGAACUUAACUUAUAGUUUUGCUGGGGUGGCAAAAAAACUAUAUCUUUGAUUACAACUAAUAAUCAUCUACACACAAAUAUAAAAAUUAAACAAGUUACCGCAGGGAUAACAGCAUAAUUUUUUCCAAAAGACCAUAUUAAAGAAAAAGAUUGUGACCUCGAUGUUGAAUAUUUUUACUGACUGGAGCAACCCCUAAAACAGUGAGUCUGUUCGACUUUUAAAAACUUACA